RNAcentral lists this ribosomal RNA (542 nucleotides) under Coelorinchus anatirostris (duckbill grenadier). Its description in RNAcentral is "partial 12S ribosomal RNA". It matches the Rfam family "Bacterial small subunit ribosomal RNA", at positions 307 to 991 of the family's 1533-position model. Lineage: Eukaryota; Metazoa; Chordata; Actinopteri; Gadiformes; Macrouridae. The record is from RNAcentral.
ACUCCUGUGAGAAUGCCCUUAUUGUCCUGCCCAGGAACUAAGGAGCAGGUAUCAGGCACGAUUAGUCAGCCCAACACACCUUGUUUUGCCACACCCCUACGGGUAAUCAGCAGUGAUAAACUUUUAGCUAUAAGUGAAAACUUGACUCAGUUAAGGUUAAGAGGGUCGGUAAACCUCGUGCCAGCCACCGCGGUUAAACGGGAGACCCAAGUUGAUAAACAACGGCGUAAAGCGUGGUUAAAGUACUAAUUAAAUAGGGUCAAAUAGCCUCUAAGCAGUCAAAUACUAUCGAGACCACAAAGCACAUCUACGAAAGUAACCCUAAUAUCCCUGACCCCACGAAAGCCAUAACACAAACUGGGAUUAGAUACCCCACUAUGUAUGGCUGUUAAAAUUGAUGGUACUUCACUCGAACCAUCCGCCCGGGAACUACGAGCCUCAGCUUAAAACCCAAAGGACCUGGCGGUGCUUUAGAUCCCCCUAGAGGAGCCUGUUCUAUAACUGACAAUCCCCGUUAAACCUCACCACCCCUUGUCAAAUCC